CUACGGGCCGCUGCAGUCGAGAAUCUUCCGCAAUGGACGAAAGCCUGACGGAGCGACGCCGCGUGCGGGAUGAAGGCCUUCGGGUUGUAAACCGCUGUCAGUGGGGAGGAAAUGCAUCAGGGUUCUCCCUGGUGUUUGACCGAUCCGCAGAGGAAGCGCAGGCUAAGUUCGUGCCAGCAGCCGCGGUAACACGAACUGCGCGAACGUUAUUCGGAAUCACUGGGCUUAAAGAGGUCGUAGGUGGCCUUUCAAGUCGGGUGUGAAAUCCCUCGGCUCAACCGAGGAAUUGCGCCUGAUACUGUUGGGCUUGAGGGGGAUAGGGGUGAGCGGAACUGAUGGUGGAGCGGUGAAAUGCGUUGAUAUCAUCAGGAACACCGGUGGCGAAGGCGGCUCACUGGAUCUCUUCUGACGCUGAGGAACGAAAGCUAGGGGAGCGAACGGGAUUAGAUACCCCGGUAGUC
This 461-nucleotide ribosomal RNA is filed under the name uncultured bacterium. RNAcentral's name for it is "partial 16S ribosomal RNA". It matches the Rfam family "Bacterial small subunit ribosomal RNA", at positions 339 to 795 of the family's 1533-position model. The record is from RNAcentral.